CCGCCGGCGACCGGCGCACGGGUGAGUAACACGUAUGCAACCUGGCCGUGACAGAUGGAUAACCGGGAGAAAUCCCGCCUAAUACAGCAUGACGCCGGGAAGGGACAUCCCUUUCCGGCCAAAGGGGGCGACUCCGGUCACGGAUGGGCAUGCGGCGCAUUAGGUAGUUGGUGGGGCAACGACCCACCAAGCCGACGAUGCGUAGGGGUUCUGAGAGGAAGGUCCCCCACAUUGGAACUGAGACACGGUCCAAACUCCUACGGGAGGCAGCAG
RNAcentral lists this ribosomal RNA (273 nucleotides) under uncultured bacterium. RNAcentral describes it as "partial 16S ribosomal RNA". It matches the Rfam family "Bacterial small subunit ribosomal RNA", at positions 85 to 354 of the family's 1533-position model. The record is from RNAcentral.